This 1115-nucleotide long non-coding RNA is filed under the name Gallus gallus (chicken). Its description in RNAcentral is "long non-coding RNA NONGGAT005865". The record is from RNAcentral. Lineage: Eukaryota; Metazoa; Chordata; Aves; Galliformes; Phasianidae.
GGAUUUGGAUCUGGGGCCGAGAGGCUGGAGAACCUGGCUAGAGGCACAGUUAAGCUCAGAAGCACCUUUCUGAGCACCAUGAAAGCACCAUGUGUUGGAAGAAAGACUUUGGAGACGGGGAGCACGGUCCAAGGAUUGGGUUUUAGUUACAUUCAAUCCUUACGAAUCCUGGGGAUGGAUGGCAUGGGAGCCUGCCCAAGUGAGAAGCUGCUCCAGCAGGCCACAGAGCCCACACAGCACCGACAGGCUGCCUGCGCUUCCUGGCCUCCUCUGGCACUGCAGCCACAGCCACGCUCCUGCCAGCAUCCAUGUAUGGCAGCCGUGAACACCUGUCUGAGCACUGAGCUGCCUCUCUGGCAAUGCUCACGGCUGGCUGAUGAAGGCUGGAAACGUGACAUCACCCAGCUGGCCACCUCAUCACACCAAGUGGCCUUCCUCCAGUCAGCACGCCAAGCACAGGCCUCCACCGCGAGACCAGAACAGACCUAAGAGUGGGGUGGGAAAGGCUUGUUCCACUCACAGACCCUUUCUGCCAGCGGAGGCUAUCCCACAGCCACUUCCUUGGACAAGGCCAGCCACAGCAGGACGACACAGCUCACCACGGCCCAACCAGCAGCCCAGCUGGCUGGCAGAAUAGCUACCAAGCCACUCGUGACCCCGUUCUUGACCUACACAGAGACCACAUCCUGCAGGCCAACCAUGCCCACAACACAGAGAAAGAGACAGCUCAGGGACAGUCAGAGCUCCCUACCCAAGGACUGUCGUUCCAUGAGGAAGCAUGGCUGGACCCUCCUCUUUCCCAGAGCCCAUGCCCACAAUGUCCUCCCACUCCUCUGAUGAGCACCACCUCACCUCCCUCCAUUCCACAUGGCAGGAGCCGUAGGAGCGUUGUCUGUGCACACUCCAGGUUCAACAAGUGGCCUCAGCCCCAAGGAACACAAACAAGCCUGAAGUUCCCAAGUCAGAAGAAACAGCUGUUCUGCAGAAGAAACACACCGCCAAGAGGUUUUGUCAUUAUUCUGAUGCAGCCAAGUGCAAAGCCUAUCACGAAGACAACCUACUGCGACAACUUUCUACCUGGGUUGCAACGUGAGAGUAGUGGGAGUUAAUUAAGU